Ananas comosus (pineapple) is the source of this 4892-nucleotide long non-coding RNA. RefSeq lists it as uncharacterized. The transcript is spliced from 3 exons. NCBI's taxonomy places the organism in Eukaryota, Viridiplantae, Streptophyta, Magnoliopsida, Poales, Bromeliaceae. The record is from RefSeq and is a predicted model, not a curated record.
AUAUCCCCUUUUUAUUCUUAGCUUUUGUUAAUAUUUUAGUUUUAUUAUCAUUAAGUUAAUUAUUAUCACUAAGUUAAUCGUUAGGUUCAUAACUAUGCAUUGGUAUUAAAUAAAACUUUUGUUGUUUUUUUCAGUUGUUUUUCUACAAUGGAUAAGAGUAGGAUGACAAAACAUAGAAAUAGUGAUGAUUAUAAAAAUGGAGUCUCACAAUUUCUUGAAUUUGCAUUUUGUAAUGCAUCCUAUAGAGGCAAGAUAUUGUGCCCUUACAUACGUUGUGUUAAUUGUUCGUUAGAAACUUAUGAGGAUGCGAAAAUACACUUGAUAUGUGACGGCUUUCUAAGAGGAUAUACUAGAUGGGUUUGCCACGGAGAGGAACCUUUAUCAUUAACUUCCUCGAUUAAUACCGUCGAUAGUAGUUCAACUUCUCAACCUAUGCAAGAAGUGUCGCCUGUGCAAGAGUAUAAUCCUAUAACCCAAAAUCUUGGAAGGUUGGAUGAUGUACAUGGACUUUUACGUGAUACUGUUGGUCGUAUUGGUGCAACAACUAAUGAAACAGAAAUGCCCAUGAAUGAAUUUGAUGAAAUGGUGGACCCACAACAAGCGACAGUAGAACCUCAUGUGGAACAGCCUAGUCAAGAAGCUAAUUGUCAUAAUCAAGAAUUUCAAAAGUUAUUAAAAGAUGCAAACGAAGAAUUAUAUCCGGGAUGCAAGACAUUUUCAAAACUAUCGUUCAUACUCCAUUUGUUCCACUUAAAGUGUCUAAAUGGGUGGUAAGGAGAGUCGUUUAGCAUGCUACUUGGGUUACUAGUUGAUGCAUUUCCAGAAGGUACUUCAUUACCUCGUUCAUCAUAUGAAGUAAAAAAAAUUAUUAGGGCCUUAGGUCUAAAUUAUGAGAAAAUUCAUUGUUGUCCAAAUGAUUGUAUGUUGUUUCGGGGUGAUAAAGUAGAUCAAGAAGUGUGCGAUGUUUGUGGAUCUUCUCGUUGGAAAAAAAAUAAUGUGGAAAAGGAACAUAUUCCAAACAAUGAAGAAAACACUUUUGGCAUAUCUACCAUACCAAAACAAAGCAGAAAGAUUCCAGCAAAAGUUUUACGAUAUUUUCCUCUUAUACCAAGACUGCAAAGGCUUUAUGCCUCUACAAAAGCGUCAAAAGAUAUGAGAUGGCAUGAGGAAGGUCGUAAGAAGGAUGGGUUGUUAAGACAUCCUGCAGAUGGUGAAGCUUAGAAGGCAUUCGAUGAACGAUUUGUAGAUUUCUCCUUUGAUUCUCGCAAUGUAAGGCUUGCUCUUUGUAGCGAUGGAUUCAACCCCAUUUACAACAAUGAGUACCACUUAUAGUACAUGGCCGGUUGUCUUGAUUACAUAUAAUUUACCUCCUUGGAUUUGUAUGAAACAAUCCUCUUUCAUCUUAUCAAUGAUUAUUCCAGGUGAAAAGAGUCCUGGAAAUGAUAUUGAUAUUUUUAUGCAACCUCUAAUUGAGGAGUUAAAAGAAUUGUGGGAGGGCGUAGAAUCAUAUGAUGCUUCAAAUAAAAAAAAAAUUCAUAUGCGAGCUGCAUUACUGUGGACCAUAAAUAACUUUCCUGCAUACGGAAUGUUGUUUGGUUGGAGUACUAAAGGAAAGUUUGCAUGUCCUUGUUGUGGAGAGCAAACACAUUCUAAAUGGCUACGCCAUGGAGGGAAUCAUUGUUAUAUGGGCCAUCGUCGUUGGUUACCUGAGGGGCAUAUAUUCCGUUCUCAGAAAGAUUUUUUUGACGGUACCGAGGAGGUAAGAUCUGCACCUAUUCGGAUAAAUGGAGUUGAUAUGUUGAGACAAAUGGAUGGCGUGCAAUUCAAAUUUGGUAAACCACCAAAAGAAAAUAAUCAAGGAAUUUAUUUGAAAAGAUCCAAAAGAAAAGGGAAAUGAGAAAUAACAAUGCAACAUCAAGCGUUUCCAUGUCAGAACCUAGCGGUGCUUUGAGGUGGUGGAAAAGAGAAGUAUUUUUUUGAAUUACCAUUUUGGCGAUAUAAUUUAUUGCGUCAUAAUCUAGAUGUGAUGCACAUUGAAAAAAAUGUGUUUGAUAAUUUUAUUGGCAUUUUGUUGAAUCUUGAUAAAAAAACAAAAGACAAUCCAAAAGCGCGACUUGAUUUAGUAGAAAUGGGCAUUAGACCUGAACUACAUCCCGAGUUGCUCGCAAAUGGGAAGACAAGAUUACCUCCAGCUUGUUUUACGAUGUCGAAGAAAGAAAAAAGAAUUCUUUAUCAAGUUCUCAAGGAUAUGAAAGCACCUGAUGGUUAUGCCUCUAAUAUUUCACGAUGUGUGAAUGUUGGUGAGUGUAAAAUUAGUGGUCUUAAGAGUCACGAUUGCCAUAUUUUGAUUGAGAAUCUACUACCAUUGGCAUUAAAAGGUUGUAGCCCAUCAAAGGAAGUGACCUUGAUCGCAAUUGAAUUGGCCAAUUUUUUUAAGUCAUUAUGUUCGAAGGUGCUGGAUGUGAAUGAGCUUGACAACAUACAAUCUCGUAUUAUACUUACACUUUGCCAGAUGGAAAAAAUCUUUUAACCUCAUUCUUUACCAUUAUGGUUCAUUUAAUGGUUCAUUCGGUGGACCGGUACAAUAUAGAUAGGUGUAUUUAUAACACCCCAUACUUUUAAACCUCUUGUUUUGACUUCUAUCUUAUUAAGUUUGGACCUUUUCGUAAUUUUCAAUCUUUGAGGGACUCGGCGGCGUUUUGUUACCUAAUUAGUACCUAACUUAAUUAAUUUUUUCCUAGCCAACCCUCACCCGAUCAAUCCCUCUUUUCCCCUCCCGCACGAUUCUCUCUCUCUCUCCUCCUUCACCGCGUCCGUACGUCUCUGCCACUCCACACAUGCGCGCGCGACGCUAUCCAAUCCCUACCGUCGUCGCCGUUAUCUGUGGCCGCCGCUGCCGCAACCCUUUUGUUUGAUCUCUAUUGGCAAUUUUGGUUCGUCGUCGACGGUACCUCGUCAUCGUUGUCUCCGUCUUUGAAGAGGUUCUUGUUUUUUAAUCUCUUUUAUCUCUUUCACUAAAUCUUGAGAUCAUUCAACCUCCUUGUUCAUGAUUAUAUGAUUGUUCUUGAAUACUUAUCUCUUGAUGAUUGGAAUUAAAACUAUCAAAAUCUUAUUUGCUUUGAUCUAAAUAUGUGUUAUUUGAACUAUCAUUUUAUCUUGUAUCCCUAUCUUAUUUAGUUAUAUAAAUUCUCCAUAUUCUACAUACUUCUUGUAAUGCUCAUUCCAUGUUCAAUAAAAUGCCUGAGUGAGGGCUAACCUUAUUCUUGUUUCUAAUUUCGAUCCCAUCUAAUUGUAAAUUGUCAAUCAAUGUUUCAACAUUUGAAAAUCCUCUUUUCGAGUAUUAGAUCUUUCGUUUAUUAUCUAAAACUUCAUUCAUGUCAUCUUAUUUCUUUGAAAACUUUAAUAUUUGGAACUCAUCAUCCUCUUGAUUGUUAAUUGAGUUUUGUCAAAUUUAUUAUUCUAAAUCUCUUUCGUGCUUCGUCUUAGCCUUUUUGCAUGCAUUUGUAGCCAACAUUGUCUGUCGACCUAUGUGAAUCUAUCCGAAUUCAGAUUUUUGUAUAAACUUGCCUUCUAAAUGUAUAAAUAUUAUUUUUGUAACUUUAUUUUUGAGUAGCUUAUAGAGAAUCGUAUAUCUCUAUUUUAGGUUCCGACGAUUGAUUUUCGUGCAAUUUUCAACUGGAUAACUUAGCUUAGAAGCCGCUUUUGAGGUAAGCGACCGGACACCCGUUAGUUUUUUGUAAAAUAAUUUAGAAAAUACUUUGAUUGUGUGAAAAUCUUUAUUUUGUAGAUUUUAAAAUUAAGGGUUAAGCGUAUAUUAAAUGUUUCUGUAAAUUGAGUUUUAGCUAUGAUUGAAAGAUUCUUUUAACAGAAAAUUUUGAAAUUUAAUAAUCUGUUCUGUAAGUUAGUGACUGGAUAAUUUUAAAUUAUAAUGUCUAUUGGUAUUCUACUAUGCUAAUGUUGGCCAUGUCGACAUGUAUUUUGUUAUAGAAGCGAGCUUUGUCUUUGUAUUGCGCCUUUGGGUGUCUGCACCUAUCCCCGCCUCUGUUUUGUUUGCGUUUUCGAGUGCCUCUGUUUUGUACAUGCACUUUCAGGUGCCUCUGUUCUGUUUGCACCUUCGGAUGCUUCUGUUCUGUUUUCGCAUUCGGAUGCCUCUGGACCUCGCCAACGGAUCAUAUGAUAUAGUACCGAGACUGCUUUGUCGGGCGGGGCUGAGACCGAGUGAACGUUAGACGUAACUAGUUUUGAUUUUAGUCCCUUUUGUUUUUACAUCUAGUAUUUUCAGAUUAUCUAUGAUCGUUUGUUAUCUAUUUUGUUUCGUUAUUUCUUCGUACCCACUUUUGUCACUUAUAGUAUUUUGUAGACCGAAUCUCUCUUGUGAUUCGUAAUAAGCUUUAGUUUUAUAGAUGUUAGAAUUUCGUUUGAUUUUAGUUGAAAUUCAAUUUCUUUAGUCUCAUCUUGUGAUUCUUUGGAUUUAGUGGAAAAAUUGGUAAUCUUCUUUUUGCUAGUUUCCGUCUGAUUCUGUAGCCUUGUAUAUUUGGUAGUUUAGCAAGUAUGCGGUAUCUGUUACGCCUCGGGUUUGGGGCGUGACAGUAUUCAUCGGAGAGGAACUUUGCACGAAUGAAAUCAUAUGUUCGGAAUAGAUCUCAUCCUGAAGAGUCAAUAGCUGAAGGUUAUAUAGCUGAAGAAUGUUUAACCUUCUGUUCAAGAUAUUUAGAUUCAAUUGAAACAAGAUUUAAUCGACCUGUACGGAAUCCUUAUCCACCUAAAAAUGGAACGGAAGGAUUAUAUUUAUUUUCUAUUGCUGGUAUCCCAAUUGGAAAGAUUGAAAAUAUUGUAUUAGAUGAAAAAGCAUGGGUCCAAGCACAUCGUUAUGUACUUCGUCAUUACGAUAA